GGGGCUGAACGGUUUCGACUUUGAUCGUUCGAUUCAGGAGAAGCGGGUAGAGAACCCAAGGUCAUCUCUUAAACGACCCUUGGAAACUAUAAGUGCCGAUUCUAAGCGCACUGACUUCGCUCUCGCCGCUUAAGGCGACUAGUGGAGGGCCGGCCUGGGAAUGUCCUCGUCCCAGAUAACCGGUCUCAUUUAGGGGACUUGCUGAUCUAGCCUUGUUGCAGGGUUGGGUCGGGACUUUUUGCAACUGAGCCUGUCGGCGGCGUGUCUGCGCGAACGCCGGGGCUGAGAAAAGCGAUUAGCAGACUGCACCCGGAGAAGUCCUGUUUCAGCAUUAGAGGACGCGGGUUCGAUUCCCGCCAGCUCCACAA
RNAcentral lists this transfer-messenger RNA (368 nucleotides) under Propionibacteriales bacterium. It matches the Rfam family "transfer-messenger RNA". From Rfam's summary of the family: Bacterial tmRNA, also known as 10Sa RNA or SsrA, is named for its dual tRNA and mRNA-like properties. Its role is to liberate the mRNA from a stalled ribosome. Lineage: Bacteria; Bacillati; Actinomycetota; Actinomycetes; Propionibacteriales. The record is from RNAcentral.